This 490-nucleotide ribosomal RNA is filed under the name uncultured bacterium. RNAcentral's name for it is "partial 16S ribosomal RNA". It matches the Rfam family "Bacterial small subunit ribosomal RNA", at positions 374 to 853 of the family's 1533-position model. The record is from RNAcentral.
GACGCAAGUSUGAUGCAGCCAUACCGCGUGUGUGAAGAAGGCCCKAGGGUUGUAAAGCACUUUCAAYAGAGAGGAAGAYUAAGURGUUAAUACCCGUUUAGWWWGACGUYACYURYAGAAGAAGCACCGGCUAACUCYGUGCCAGCAGCCGCGGUAAUACAGAGGGUGCAAGCGUUAUUCGGAAUUACUGGGCGUAAAGCGCGCGUAGGCGGAUGAUUAAGUCAGUUGUGAAAGCCCUGGGCUCAACCUAGGAACUGCAUCUGAUACUGGUCAUCUAGAGUUUAAGAGAGGGAAGUGGAAUUCCAGGUGUAGCAGUGAAAUGCGUAGAUAUCUGGAGGAACAUCAGUGGCGAAGGCGACUUCCUGGCUUAAAACUGACGCUGAGGUGCGAAAGCGUGGGUAGCGAACGGGAUUAGAUACCCCGGUAGUCCACGCCGUAAACGAUGUCAAACUAGUUGUUGGUCUUAUUAAAAAGAUYAGUAACGAAAGCU